Molecule: ribosomal RNA, 488 nt
Filed under: uncultured bacterium
Lineage: Bacteria
Description: partial 16S ribosomal RNA
Rfam family: Bacterial small subunit ribosomal RNA
Source: RNAcentral
UGAACGCUGGCGGCAGGCCUACCACAUGCAAGUCGAACGGUAACAGGAAGAAGCUUGCUUCUUUGCUGACGAGUGGCGGACGGGUGAGUAAUGUCUGGGAAACUGCCUGAUGGAGGGGGAUAACUACUGGAAACGGUAGCUAAUACCACAUAACGUCGCAAGACCAAAGAGGGGGACCUUCGGGCCUCUUGCCAUCGGAUGUGCCCAGAUGGGAUUAGCUAGUAGGUGGGGUAACGGCUCACCUAGGCGACGAUCCCUAGCUGGUCUGAGAGGAUGACCAGCCACACUGGAACUGAGACACGGUCCAGACUCCUACGGGAGGCAGCAGUGGGGAAUAUUGCACAAUGGGCGCAAGCCUGAUGCAGCCAUGCCGCGUGUAUGAAGAAGGCCUUCGGGUUGUAAAGUACUUUCAGCGGGGAGGAAGGGAGUAAAGUUAAUACCUUUGCUCAUUGACGUUACCCGCAGAAGAAGCACCGGCUAACUCCGUG